Molecule: ribosomal RNA, 620 nt
Filed under: Paroster macrocephalus
Lineage: Eukaryota; Metazoa; Arthropoda; Insecta; Coleoptera; Dytiscidae
Description: partial 16S ribosomal RNA
Rfam family: Bacterial large subunit ribosomal RNA
Source: RNAcentral
UUAGAAUAGAAUUUAAGGUUUAACCUGCCCACUGAUUUAUUAAAUGGCCGCAGUAAUUUGACUGUGCAAAGGUAGCAUAAUAAUUAGUUUUUUAAUUAAAAGCUUGUAUGAAUGGUUGGACGAGAUGAAUACUGUCUCUAGGUAAUAAAUAGAAUUUAAUUUUUAAGUUAAAAAGCUUAAAUAAUAAUAAAAGACGAGAAGACCCUAUAGAUCUUUAUAAUAUUUUUUAUAUAUUUAAUUAAGAUUAUUUUAUUAUUUAUAAUAAAUAUUAUUAUAUUGGGGUAAUAUAAGAAUUAAAUAAAUUUUUUAUUGUAUUUUUAUAUAGAUUAAUAAAUUUAUGGUCCUUUAUUAGAGAUUAUAAGAUUAAGUUACCUUAGGGAUAACAGCGUAAUUUUUUUAGAGAGUUCAUAUCGAUAAAAAAGUUUGCGACCUCGAUGUUGGAUUAAAAAUUAUUUUAGGUGUAGUAGUUUAAAAUUUUGGUCUGUUCGACCAUUGAAUUUUUACAUGAUCUGAGUUCAGACCGGUGUAAGCCAGGUCGGUUUCUAUCUUUAUUAGAUUAUUAUAUUUUAGUACGAAAGGACCAAAUAUAAGAUAUAGAAUAUUUAAUUUUUUGAAUUAUA